UUAUUGAAGCAGAAGAGUAUCUUUCACAUUUCAAAGCCCUAAUAUUUACAUCAAUGGCAGCUCAGACAUUGCAGCUCCGAUCACUGGGCAACACUGGACUCAAACUCAGCUCUGUCGGCUUCGGCGCUUCGCCUCUCGGCAAGGUUUUCGGCGAUGUCUCCGAACAAGACGCCUUCGACGCCGUCCGGGAAGCCUUUCGCCUCGGUGUCAAUUUCUUUGAUACUUCCCCGUAUUAUGGAGGAACAUUAUCGGAAAAGGUACUAGGGAAAGCUUUGAAGGCUCUUAAAGUCCCUAGAGAUCAGUACAUUGUGUCUACAAAAUGUGGGAGGUACAAAGAGGGAUUUGAUUUUAGUGCUGAGAGAGUGACUAAAAGUAUUGAUGAGAGCUUGGAGAGGCUGCAGCUUGAUUAUGUUGAUAUGUUACAAUGUCAUGAUAUUGAAUUUGGGUCCCUCGAUCAGAUUGUGAAUGAGACACUUCCCGCCCUUCUAAAAUUGAAGCAAGCUGGAAAGAUCCGUUUCAUUGGUAUAACCGGCCUACCUUUGGGGAUAUUCACUUAUGUGCUUGAUCGCGUCCCUCCAGGCACAGUUGACGUCAUCCUGUCAUAUUGUCACUACAGUGUCAACGAUUCAACUUUGGAGGAUCUGUUACCGUACUUGAAGAGCAAGGGUGUGGGAGUGAUCAGUGCUUCUCCUCUUUCAAUGGGUCUUCUUACUGAGGCUGGUGGUCCCGAGUGGCACCCUGCUUCUUCUGAACUUAAGGCUGCCUGCCGUGCUGCUGCUGAUCACUGCAAAGGAAAGGGAAAGAAUAUCUCAAAAUUAGCCUUGCAGUACAGCUUAGCAAAUACCGACAUUUCUUCCAUACUAGUGGGGAUGAAGUCUGUUAAAGAGGUUGAGGAAAAUAUAGCAGCUGCCCUAGAAGUAGCAACGACUGGAAUGGACGAAGAAGCAUUAUCAGAGAUCACAGACAUUCUGAAACCAGUGAAGAAUCAGACAUGGCCUAGCGGUAUCCAACAAAGUUGAUUUGUUUGUCAGUUCAACGAGGUCUUGUGAAUUGUGAUCUCCUGUUGUGCAUGUUUUAUUUGCACUUGGACAUCUAAAACAAGUUCAAGUCGAAAUUGUAUGUUGUAUUCUUCGAGUUUUUACAUAUCCAAGUUAGAAUAAUGAAUAAACUUUGCAGUGUUUUAAGUAUAGGAGGCCAGUUUCGAUUGUUAAAUGCCUUUUGGAACCUGUCUAAACAGAGACAUGUCCAGUUUACCAAAAUUACUGUAAUGUUUUAGUUUCGGGUACCAUAUUUGAUAAUUCAAAUUGUGUUUGCUCCAAA
RNAcentral lists this unclassified non-coding RNA (1320 nucleotides) under Hevea brasiliensis (rubber tree). The record is from RNAcentral. Lineage: Eukaryota; Viridiplantae; Streptophyta; Magnoliopsida; Malpighiales; Euphorbiaceae.